RNAcentral lists this long non-coding RNA (832 nucleotides) under Mus pahari (shrew mouse). RNAcentral describes it as "predicted gene 17080 (MGP_PahariEiJ_G0002799.1)". Lineage: Eukaryota; Metazoa; Chordata; Mammalia; Rodentia; Muridae. The record is from RNAcentral.
GGCGAGGUAACCGUUGGAGAAGGCAAAGGCAGCCAUGAAGGCGAUGAACCAGGCGUCAUGCUUAAAGACGAAGUGGUGCCGCUGCGCACCGCAGUGGCGCGCUUUCACGUUGCAGAGCAUCAGCAGGGGGAUAAACACAAUCCUCGAGGCGACCAAAACCGGCAGCCAGCGGCUAUCCUGGCCAGGCUGCGGGCACAGGCAAAGCUUCAGCGCGUAUGUCAGUCCUCCCGGUCUCCUGGGGCCCCUGGGGACUUGGAUAAGACCUCUAGGCCUGGGUAUCUUUAGGGGUGCUGAUUGCUAGGGGCGCAGUGGUGCCUAUGGGAUGUCGGGAUGUAUCUUUCCAUCUAGGUGGGAGCCAUGACGUGCACACCUCUGCCAGACUACACACCUAAGAACGGUACGCGUGGGCCAGGGACGGCUCAAUAGUUAGAGUCCUGCUCUUGUGGAAGACCCAGGUUUAGUUUCCAGUCCUCACAAGCUCCUCUAACUCCAGCUCCGGGGGGGAUCUGGUGCCCUCUUCUGGCCUCUGUGGGCAUUGCAUUCACAUGCGCACACCCUCACACACACAUGAUUUGAAAAGUCUUAGCUGGGUCAUGGUGGCACACGCACUUGGGAAGCGGGGGGGGGGCAAGAGAUCUGAGUUCAAGGCCAGCCUGGUCAGAAAGGGAAGUGGUAUAAGGCAGACCCAGCAAAAGGAGAAAGGAGGUCGAGGAAGGGUAGGCAGGACCCCAGGACCCACGUACACUCUUAAGUAUGGCUUUGAUAGACUGGUUUCUGUCGGUGGGUGGAGAGUUGGGGCCUGGCACCCCAGAUUCCUCUCUUCUUCCUUUUG